RNAcentral lists this unclassified non-coding RNA (219 nucleotides) under Hevea brasiliensis (rubber tree). The record is from RNAcentral. Lineage: Eukaryota; Viridiplantae; Streptophyta; Magnoliopsida; Malpighiales; Euphorbiaceae.
CAAUUAUUAUUUAGGAAAAAUCACUGUUUAGUAUUUAUAUUUUAAUAAAACUAAUUAUUUAAUUAUCUGUUUUAAAAAAUAAAAUAUUUAGUGUUGUUAUUUUAAAAUAAUCUUUUUUUAAUCAAGCUAGUUAAAGAAGAUGGCAUAUUUGUGAUUUAAAACUAUGGGACUAAAUAGUUGUAUUGUUUAAAUUGUAGAGAUUAAAUAGUUGAGUCAGAG